Molecule: small nucleolar RNA, 121 nt
Filed under: Echinops telfairi (small Madagascar hedgehog)
Lineage: Eukaryota; Metazoa; Chordata; Mammalia; Afrosoricida; Tenrecidae
Description: Small nucleolar RNA SNORA61 (ENSETEG00000024312.1)
Source: RNAcentral
AUCCUCCAAGUCCCUUCCCCAUCAGACCAAGCACUGACCUGAGUGGUUAUAAAAGGAGGAAAAGUAAAAUUGAAAGUGAUUCAAAUGUGUUUUAUGACAAACAAGUUCGUUUCAAACAGAG